CGUGUGGAGUUGCGUUUCGGACGCUGGUUGAGGUGGUGGACGUGAUGGACGAGCGGAUGAAAUUUGCCUUCCUUGCUCCCCGAACUUUUUUGGGAACCGGGAUUUAGACUCAGCAGGUGGAAGGAAUUCUGGACCUGAUUUGCCAGCUUCGGUAUUAGCGGUAUUCCAGCACAAAGAUGUCCUGUCAACAUCUUUUCUAUCAUGACCUGAUGACUUCCCCGUCAUCUUAUCUCAACUGUGAGUGAGAAAGUCUGGGUGUUAAAGAGGGUUUUUCUCCCUCCAAGAUCCUGUGGAAUGAGAAGUUGGCGUUCUGCUGGGGUUUGUAUUGGGAACCGAAGAAAAGCCAUCCUGACAACACGAACAUUCAGGAAAAAUACAUUCUUGGGGAUUUAAG
This is a non-coding RNA of Pseudonaja textilis, 394 nucleotides long. Lineage: Eukaryota; Metazoa; Chordata; Lepidosauria; Squamata; Elapidae. The record is from RefSeq and is a predicted model, not a curated record.